AGCGAACGCUGGCGGCAGGCUUAACACAUGCAAGUCGAGCGGGCACUUUCGGGUGUCAGCGGCGGACGGGUGAGUAACGCGUGGGAACGUGCCCUCUGGUUCGGAAUAACUCAGGGAAACUUGAGCUAAUACCGGAUACGCCCUUUUGGGGAAAGGCUUGCUGCCGGAGGAUCGGCCCGCGUCUGAUUAGCUAGUUGGUGAGGUAACGGCUCACCAAGGCGACGAUCAGUAGCUGGUCUGAGAGGAUGAUCAGCCACACUGGGACUGAGACACGGCCCAGACUCCUACGGGAGGCAGCAGUGGGGAAUAUUGGACAAUGGGCGCAAGCCUGAUCCAGCCAUGCCGCGUGAGUGAUGAAGUCCUUAGGGUUGUAAAGCUCUUUUAUCCGGGACGAUAAUGACGGUACCGGAGGAAUAAGCCCCGGCUAACUUCGUG
RNAcentral lists this ribosomal RNA (435 nucleotides) under uncultured bacterium. Its description in RNAcentral is "partial 16S ribosomal RNA". It matches the Rfam family "Bacterial small subunit ribosomal RNA", at positions 29 to 507 of the family's 1533-position model. The record is from RNAcentral.